This 254-nucleotide ribosomal RNA is filed under the name uncultured bacterium. Its description in RNAcentral is "partial 16S ribosomal RNA". It matches the Rfam family "Bacterial small subunit ribosomal RNA", at positions 524 to 776 of the family's 1533-position model. The record is from RNAcentral.
UACGAAGGGUGCAAGCGUUACUCGGAAUUACUGGGCGUAAAGCGUGCGUAGGUGGUUUGUUAAGUCUGUUGUGAAAGCCCCCGGGCUCAACCUGGGAAUGGCAAUGGAUACUGGCAGGCUAGAGUGCGGUAGAGGGUAGUGGAAUUCCCGGUGUAGCGGUGAAAUGCGUAGAGAUCCGGAAGAACACCGGUGGCGAAGGCGGUUAGCUGGGCAGUUGCUGACACUGAGGCGCGACAGCGUGGGGAGCAAACAGG